CUUAAACACGACUCUCGGUUCCAACCCCUCCACGUCUGCAUCCACAGCCAGGCUUGUUCCGUUCAGCAUGACAUUAGGGUUGAGCGAGAGAGACGCUGCAUUUGCUCGCCUGGAGGUGAGGUGACAACUAUUACUUCGCAGUCGGAUUGACGGCAGUAGAAUAUUGAACAAGCUCAGGAUGACGCGGGAACCGCACCUUCUAAAAUGCUGCAGCACUAGCGAUUCGUAUCGUUCCGUGUCAACGAACUACACUUUCGCUGAGAGGCGCUUAAAUGGAGAAGAGUGGGACUCUCAGUAGCGAGAAUUGACGCUUAUUCAUUGGAAUUUGAUGAAAGGUUGUGGUAGAGGAUGAAGGGAUGGGCCAGAAUUUUUGCACCUUUAGUGUAGGAUGUCGAAACGGCAAGUCGGUGUUACGAUGUGGGAAAACGAGCGUUUUCUUAAUGGGCUUUCUUUCUGUUUCACCUAAGGUCAUUCCUUUCAACGCAUACGUUCCGAUCGCAAAA
Molecule: non-coding RNA, 503 nt
Organism: Physcomitrium patens
Lineage: Eukaryota; Viridiplantae; Streptophyta; Bryopsida; Funariales; Funariaceae
Source: RefSeq, a predicted model, not a curated record